Molecule: transfer RNA, 78 nt
Filed under: Candidatus Heimdallarchaeota archaeon
Lineage: Archaea; Promethearchaeati; Candidatus Heimdallarchaeota
Also listed under: 3 other names
Description: tRNA-Val
Rfam family: tRNA
About the family: Transfer RNA (tRNA) molecules are approximately 80 nucleotides in length. Their secondary structure includes four short double-helical elements and three loops (D, anti-codon, and T loops). Further hydrogen bonds mediate the characteristic L-shaped molecular structure. tRNAs have two regions of fundamental functional importance: the anti-codon, which is responsible for specific mRNA codon recognition, and the 3' end, to which the tRNAs corresponding amino acid is attached (by aminoacyl-tRNA synthetases). tRNAs cope with the degeneracy of the genetic code in two manners: having more than one tRNA (with a specific anti-codon) for a particular amino acid; and 'wobble' base-pairing, i.e. permitting non-standard base-pairing at the 3rd anti-codon position.
Source: RNAcentral
GGGGCAGUGGUCUAGCUCGGUUAUGACAACUCCCUUACGCGGAGUAGGUCGGCGGUUCAAAUCCGCUCUGCCCCACCA